UGCAAAAUUCAUGUGAUGUAGAAAUAUCAGC
RNAcentral lists this non-coding RNA (31 nucleotides) under Mus musculus (house mouse). Lineage: Eukaryota; Metazoa; Chordata; Mammalia; Rodentia; Muridae. The record is from RNAcentral.